RNAcentral lists this ribosomal RNA (330 nucleotides) under uncultured bacterium. RNAcentral describes it as "bacterial SSU rRNA". It matches the Rfam family "Bacterial small subunit ribosomal RNA", at positions 568 to 898 of the family's 1533-position model. The record is from RNAcentral.
CGUGUAGGCGGGCAGACAAGUCGGACGUGAAAUUUUUCCGCUUAACGGAGAAACCGCGUUUGAAACUAUCUGUCUUGAGUACGGGAGAGGAAAGUGGAAUUCCUGGUGUAGCGGUGAAAUGCGUAGAUAUCAGGAGGAACACCUGUGGCGAAGGCGAGCUUCUAUCAGAGGACUGACGCUGAGGCGCGAAAGCGUGGGGAGCAAACAGGAUUAGAUACCCUGGUAGUCCACGCUGUAAACGAUGUGCACUAGGCGUGGGGCACGUACGUGUUCUGUGCCGUAGUUAACGUGAUAAGUGCACCGCCUGGGGAGUAUGCUCGCAAGGGUGAA